AACGAACGCUGGCGGCAGGCUUAACACAUGCAAGUCGAACGCCCCGCAAGGGGAGUGGCGCACGGGUGCGUAACGCGUGGGAACAUGCUCUUCGGUUCGGAACAACGUCGGGAAACUGACGCUAAUACCGCAUAAUAUCUCCGGAUCAAAGAUUUAUCGCCUGAGGGUUGGCCCGCGUUAGAUUAGGUAGGUGGUGGGGUAAAGGCCUACCAAGCCGACGAUCUAUAGCUGGUCUGAGAGGAUGAUAAGCCACACUGGAACUGAGACACGGUCCAGACUCCUACGGGAGGCAGCAGUGAGGAAUAUUGGACAAUGGGGGAGAUCCUGAUCCAGCCAUGCCGCGUGAGCGAUGAAGGCCUUAGGGUUGUAAAGCUCUUUUAGAUGGGAAGAUAAUGACUGUACCAUCAGAAUAAGCCCCGGCUAAAUUCGUGCCAGCCGCCGCCGUAA
Molecule: ribosomal RNA, 447 nt
Filed under: uncultured bacterium
Lineage: Bacteria
Description: partial 16S ribosomal RNA
Rfam family: Bacterial small subunit ribosomal RNA
Source: RNAcentral